This 887-nucleotide ribosomal RNA is filed under the name uncultured archaeon. RNAcentral's name for it is "bacterial SSU rRNA". It matches the Rfam family "Archaeal small subunit ribosomal RNA", at positions 24 to 903 of the family's 1478-position model. The record is from RNAcentral.
CGAUGCUAUCCGGGUGGGACUAAGCCAUGCAAGUCGAAUGGGAUACCUAAAUUUCCCAUGGCGAACUGCUCAGUAACACGUGAUCAACUUACCCUGUGGAGAAAAAUAAUUCGGGAAACUGAAGAUAUCUUCAUAAUUGAGAAUGCUUGGAAAGGUUUCUCAAUAAAAGAACAUUUCAAAUGGGAAAUGUAUCGCCGCAGGAUAGGAUCGCGUCCGAUUAUGGCAGUUGGUGAGGUAAUGGCUCACCAAACUAUAUCGGUAAGGGCCGUGAGAGCGGAAGCCCUGAGAUGGGUACUGAGACAAUGACCCAGGUCUUACGAGAUGCAGCAGGCGCGAAACCUUCACAAUGCACGAAAGUGAGAUGAGGUUACCCGGAGUGCUACAAAGUAGCUGUGGCAGGUGAGUAAGGUUCCCUGCUAGGAAGGAGAGGGCAAGGCUGGUGCCAGCCGCCGCGGUAAAACCAGCUCUUCAAGUGGUCGGGAUUAUUAUUGGGCUUAAAGUGUUCGUAGCCUGUUUAGUAAGUUCUUGGUUAAAUCGGAUAGCUUAACUAUCUGUCUGCUAAGAAUACUACUAUACUAGGGGGCGGGAGAGGUCUGAGGUACUCCAGGGGUAGCGGUGAAAUGCUAUAAUCCUUGGGGGACCACCAGUGGCGAAGGCGUCAGACUGGAACGCGCCCGACGGUGAGGGACGAAAGCCAGGGGAGCGAACCGGAUUAGAUACCCGGGUAGUCCUGGUUGUAAACGAUGCGUGCUAGGUGUUGGUAUAGCUAUGAGCCGUAUCAGUGCCGUAGGAAAACCGAUAAGCGCGCCGCCUGGGGAGUACGGUCGCAAGGCUGAAACUUAAAGGAAUUGGCGGGCGAGCACCACAAGGGGUGAAGCCUGCGGUUC